AGAACGAACGCUGGCGGCAUGCCUAACACAUGCAAGUCGAACGAGAUCCUUCGGGGUCUAGUGGCGCACGGGUGCGUAACGCGUGGGAAUCUGCCCUUAGGUACGGAAUAACUCAGGGAAACUUGUGCUAAUACCGUAUGAUGUCUUCGGACCAAAGAUUUAUCGCCUAGGGAUGAGCCCGCGUAGGAUUAGCUAGUUGGUGGGGUAAAGGCCUACCAAGGCUACGAUCCUUAGCUGGUCUGAGAGGAUGAUCAGCCACACUGGGACUGAGACACGGCCCAGACUCCUACGGGAGGCAGCAGUGGGGAUAUUGGACAAUGGGCGAAAGCCUGAUCCAGCAAUGCCGCGUGAGUGAAGAAGGCCUUCGGGUUGUAAAGCUCUUUUACCCGGGAAGAUAAUGACUGUACCGGGAGAAUAAGCCCCGGCUAACUCCGUGCCAGCAGCCGC
This 447-nucleotide ribosomal RNA is filed under the name uncultured bacterium. Its description in RNAcentral is "SSU rRNA". It matches the Rfam family "Bacterial small subunit ribosomal RNA", at positions 26 to 518 of the family's 1533-position model. The record is from RNAcentral.